RNAcentral lists this ribosomal RNA (253 nucleotides) under uncultured bacterium. Its description in RNAcentral is "partial 16S ribosomal RNA". It matches the Rfam family "Bacterial small subunit ribosomal RNA", at positions 524 to 776 of the family's 1533-position model. The record is from RNAcentral.
UACGUAGGUCCCGAGCGUUGUCCGGAUUUAUUGGGCGUAAAGCGAGCGCAGGUGGUUUAUUAAGUCUGGUGUGAAAGCCUUCGGCUUAACCGGAGUAGUGCAUUGGAAACUGGGAGACUUGAGUGCAGAAGAGGAGAGUGGAACUCCAUGUGUAGCGGUGAAAUGCGUAGAUAUAUGGAAGAACACCAGUGGCGAAAGCGGCUCUCUGGUCUGUAACUGACGCUGAGGUUCGAAAGCGUGGGUAGCAAACAGG